UAUCUUUAAUUUAACGAUUCAAAGUCUUAUAUUAUUAGCGUUGGUUUUCCAACUAUGACGAUAAACGAGAUUCGUAAUAAACAUUGAGCACCAGGGGGCGGUACCCUGCACCUCCACCAAUUUCAACUUAUGGGGGUGAAAUAGAAUCGACUAAUGUCUAAAGGCUUUUCUUUCGUCCGGUAUAGUACCACCGCAAAGGACUAAAAUAUAAACGCAAAUGAACAAUUUGCUCUCGCUGCCUAAUUAAUUUAUUAAUUAGAUAAGCACGGUCCGGGGCACCGGGUAACAGAACGCCCCGCU
This 300-nucleotide transfer-messenger RNA is filed under the name Fontibacterium baikalense (SeqCode). It matches the Rfam family "Alphaproteobacteria transfer-messenger RNA". From Rfam's summary of the family: Bacterial tmRNA, also known as 10Sa RNA or SsrA, is named for its dual tRNA and mRNA-like properties. Its role is to liberate the mRNA from a stalled ribosome. To accomplish this part of the tmRNA is used as a reading frame that ends in a translation stop signal. Lineage: Bacteria; Pseudomonadati; Pseudomonadota; Alphaproteobacteria; Candidatus Pelagibacterales; Candidatus Pelagibacteraceae. The record is from RNAcentral.